This 479-nucleotide ribosomal RNA is filed under the name uncultured bacterium. Its description in RNAcentral is "bacterial SSU rRNA". It matches the Rfam family "Bacterial small subunit ribosomal RNA", at positions 24 to 518 of the family's 1533-position model. The record is from RNAcentral.
UCAGGACGAACGCUGGCGGCACGCUUAACACAUGCAAGUCGAACGGAGUAUGAGAGCUUGCUUCGAUAACUUAGUGGCGGACGGGUGAGUAACACGUGAGCAACCUGCCUUCAAGAGCGGAAUAGCUUCUGGAAACGGAUGGUAAUACCGCAUAACAUUACCGGACCGCAUGAUCUGGUAAUCAAAGAUUUAUCGCUUGAAGAUGGGCUCGCGUCUGAUUAGAUAGUUGGUGGGGUAACGGCCUACCAAGUCGACGAUCAGUAGCCGGACUGAGAGGUUGAACGGCCACAUUGGGACUGAGACACGGCCCAGACUCCUACGGGAGGCAGCAGUGGGGAAUAUUGCACAAUGGGCGCAAGCCUGAAUGCAGCGAUGCCGCGUGGAGGAAGAAGGUUUUCGGAUUGUAAACUCCUUAUCUGAGGGACGAUAAUGACGGUACCUCAGGAGAAAGCUCCGGCUAACUACGUGCCAGCCGCGGC